GGUGAAAUCCCAUAGCUUAACUAUGGAACUGCCUUUUGAUUACUGGUUGACUUGAGUUAUACGGAAGUAGAGUAGAAUAAGUAGUGUAGCGGUGAAAUGCAUAGAUAUUACUUAGAAUACCGAUUGCGAAGGCAGUCUACUACGUAUAUACUGACGCUCAUGGACGAAAGCGUGGGGAGCGAACAGGAUUAGAUACCCUGGUAG
This 204-nucleotide ribosomal RNA is filed under the name uncultured bacterium. Its description in RNAcentral is "partial 16S ribosomal RNA". It matches the Rfam family "Bacterial small subunit ribosomal RNA", at positions 593 to 793 of the family's 1533-position model. The record is from RNAcentral.